Molecule: ribosomal RNA, 468 nt
Filed under: uncultured bacterium
Lineage: Bacteria
Description: partial 16S ribosomal RNA
Rfam family: Bacterial small subunit ribosomal RNA
Source: RNAcentral
GACGAACGCUGGCGGCGUGCUUAACACAUGCAAGUCGAACGGAAAGGCCCUGCUUUUGUUGGGUACUCGAUUAGCGAACGGGUGAGUAACGCGUGAGUAACCGGCCCUUGACUUUGGGAUAACGUCAGGAAACUGGGGCUAAUGCCGGAUAGGAGCUCCUGCUGCAUGGUGGGGGUUGGAAAGUUUCGGCGGGUGGGGAUGGACUCGCGGCUUAUCAGCUUGUUGGUGGGGUAGUGGCUUACCAAGGCUUUGGCGGGUAGCCGGCCUGAGAGGGUGACCGGCCACAUUGGGACUGAGAUACGGCCCAGACUGCUACGGGAGGCAGCAGUGGGGAAUAUUGCGCGAUGGGCGGCAGCAUGAUGCAGCAACGCCGCGUGCGGGAUGACGGCCUUCGGGUUGUAAACCGCUUUCGCCUGUGACGAAGCGUGAGUGACGGUAAUGGGUAAAGAAGCAACGGCUAACUACGUG